This is a small nucleolar RNA of Capsicum annuum, 104 nucleotides long. Lineage: Eukaryota; Viridiplantae; Streptophyta; Magnoliopsida; Solanales; Solanaceae. The record is from RefSeq and is a predicted model, not a curated record.
UGUUGAUGGGGUGGACAAUCCCUAAAAAGAGCCUUGAACCGCUCCCAAGCAUCAUAAAUAUUCUCAUCUGGCUUCUGUUUGAAGAAUAAUAUCUCACUCCAACG